AGGACUCUAGUAAACAAUUACAUGGCGCCGUCAGCGCUAAAUUACAGGUACAACCCCUGUGAGACCUA
This is a non-coding RNA of Eublepharis macularius, 68 nucleotides long. NCBI's taxonomy places the organism in Eukaryota, Metazoa, Chordata, Lepidosauria, Squamata, Eublepharidae. The record is from the annotation of a RefSeq genome assembly.